GUAUGUUUUCAACAGCUAUUUUUGAAAAACGAAAUUUAAUUGGUUGAAAUCUAAAAAAAAAAAAAAAGUGGGUCGUGAUUUAAUGACCGUGGAAAAAUGUGGGUCCCAGGGUGAGACCAGAUGAGAACCCCUGAUUUAAGAGUACUACAUAGCUGAACUCCAGUUCAGGUUUUCCAACCAACACCUGCUAACCGAGAAAUUCAAUUAGGGACUCCUCUUCCCACUUGGAGCUGGUCUCCAGGGCAGAUCUUCCGGACGACUUGCCCUGUAAGAAAUUAGAAAAUGCUACUAUAUAAUCAAAAUAACAGAAAAUAAAUAAAAAAUAACAUAAGUCUGGCUAUUUUUAAAAAAAAUGUUAAACGUUACUAUGUCCACCGUAUAAACAAACAGCGCGUGUGUAUGGGAGGAAGUCGAUGACAGACUGGCCAACAACACCACAGAUCAUUCAAGAAAAGUCAUCCUCUAUAUUAAAAUGCCACAGCUUGAACAACACAAGAAACCAUGGGCUGCAGCAUGAGGUGAUGUUGUUUCUCUUCAGUGGACAAUGGUUUUGUACAGAAUGUUCAGCUGGUAGAUGAGGUGAGCCCCUCUCUGGAGUGACUCCCCAGGAAGAGAAAACGAGGUAGGACAAAUCUCUAACAUGACUGAUUACUGUCCCCACCAUCUCCCCUGUUCAUAUCUUGAACA
Molecule: long non-coding RNA, 687 nt
Filed under: Gouania willdenowi (blunt-snouted clingfish)
Lineage: Eukaryota; Metazoa; Chordata; Actinopteri; Blenniiformes; Gobiesocidae
Description: lncRNA (ENSGWIG00000026182.1)
Source: RNAcentral